UGAGAUUGAACUAAUUCAAUCAAAAUCUAAAAGUAGUGUUACUUAUCCAAAUCGAAUCUACACUAUGAUAGUACAAAUAUCCAAGGACUCAGCAGAAAUAGUUUAAACUAGGCUGAAACCAAAAUAACACAUGAAAGUCCAAUAUAACCCCAAUACAAAUUGUAAUGUCUAUGGCAUGAAUAAAUACAAUGAAUCAAGUAAUAGAACAUAAUUUAAUAUAGAACAAGUAUAAUUUUUCAAUAACACAACUUGAUAUUCAGCUAACUAAAGUUUACAUCUCCCAUCAUGCUUCAGAUUCAAGCUUCACACAUCAAUAAAGUCCAAAGAUGUAUUUGGAUAUCAAAGUAAACCAAAAGAAAAUGAAGAUUUCAGCAGUAGCAGCUGAUCGAAUGAAUCAGCAGGCCAAACACAGCAAGGUUCAAGCUCCCUUAGACCAUUUGUGACCCAGACAACAGAAAUUCUUUAAAAUUUUGGAAAUUCUGACUAACUAUGAAGAUCAAGAGCAAGACCAAAGCAAAUUUCAACCAAAAAAAUACAGAAAAUGUUCAGUAUUUUUAGAGUAUCAAAACUUGCCUGAAAAAUGAAUGAAAGAGGUCCUUAAAUAAGUAGCCUAAGGCAGACCUAGUACAACUAACCAAUUCCCUUUCUACCCUUUCUUUCUUGGUUAUUUUACCCAUUUUAUCCCUUUAAAAAUAUUUGAAACCCUUGCCCUUAACAAACCAGCUCUCAUCUUAUACUCUAGAACCUUCUAUGCUAAUAGAAAAUGAUUCCCUCAAGCCUCAAAUCCCUAAAUUGGCCCUUGACACCCUGUAUUUACCUUCAGAGUGCCAAGUUGGGUCAUGUUAAUCCAAGACCCCAAAUGAACGGGUCUCUUAACUGGGUCAGUGAUGACCAAAGUUAAUACAAGAGACCAAACCAUCACAAAUGAUGAAACAAAGAAGCUCAGAUUCAGAAGAAAAAAAAAAGAUAAACAAUAUUUCAGAACUUUACGAUUAAACCUGACUUAACUACUUAACUAAAAUGAAAUUCACCAUUAAAGAAGACAAGACAAAAUAAUGAAGCAAAUAAAAAAGAAGACCAGGAAAAUGUUGUAAUGAACAGGGUCAUGAGAAAAAAAACGGAAAAGUACCAAUUAUGCCGAAAUGACUUGACCAUUUGAGACGACUCGAUAAGCAGUGAAGGGAGUCGAGGAUUGGUCAUAAUCCAAUGAGUUUGCCAAAAUCUAUCGUACUCGGAAUGAGCUAAAACCAACGCCAAUCGAUUGCUCAUGUUAAGAUCAAUCGACUAAUGUAAGUUAUAGGUCAAAGCAAGCCGGAACUCCCCGCGAAUUUAGAAAAAUAGAAUAACCUAGGGUUUGAACUUCCUAGAUUUGGAAUUAGGGAAAUUGUGAUGGGAUUUUUGGGAAAUAGGUGUUGGGGAUAGGAUUUAGAAGGGCCUGAGGGUGCAUGGUACGAAUUUGGGAUGGUUUGGAGCCGCCGCCGGCGGAUGGCUUGGGAAUUCCAAGGAGGCGGGUUUAGGAUUCAUAAAGAAGCUCUGAGUGAGAAGAUGAAUGAGGGGGCGAUUUGGGGAGGUAGGGUUACUUCCGACAUUUAAAUAUAAGUGAUCUCCCAGUUCUUAGCCGUUCGAUGAGUAAAAAUCAAUAGUUGGGAUAAAAA
Molecule: long non-coding RNA, 1655 nt
Filed under: Nicotiana benthamiana
Lineage: Eukaryota; Viridiplantae; Streptophyta; Magnoliopsida; Solanales; Solanaceae
Description: long non-coding RNA (NBEN_LNC031032)
Source: RNAcentral